Molecule: long non-coding RNA, 831 nt
Organism: Daucus carota subsp. sativus
Lineage: Eukaryota; Viridiplantae; Streptophyta; Magnoliopsida; Apiales; Apiaceae
Exons: 4
Source: RefSeq, a predicted model, not a curated record
CUUAUCCCAAAGUCUUAGCUAGGGUUUGCCUACUGAGGCUGAUUGUAGCGCCGCUCUGUGCCUCUGCCCAAAAAUUCCUAGUGCUCCGAUUAUGAAUGAUUGGUAUAUUAUUCACCCUCCUUGUACAUACCAAGGUUGUCGACAGUGGAAAGGAGGAGGGGGUUUUGAAAACGAAGUACCAAUGAGAAUAAUGAAGAAAAUGCUCCAGAAAGGAUUGACAUUAAUGUUCAUGGCAUAUAUGUGAAGUCAGUCAGUAGCUACUACAUAUUUGCUGUGACACUUCUCAUGAUGGGCCUUACCAUUAGCUGGAAUGCUACUGCAGCCAAUGGCCCUAUGUUUGCUAAGGUGGUCCCUGCCAAGCAUAGGACUAUGAUCUAUGCAUUUGAUCGAGGUCUUAAGGGAUGUUCCUCUUCAUUUGCUGCUCCUAUUGUUGGAAUUCUUGCAGAACAGUUAUAAUCCUAAUUAAGUCUGUUAACCCCAAAACAGAAUCCAUACCAGAGGCCAUUGCAUUGUUGAAAGGCCGUUUUUCAAUGAUGGCAGUUCCCUUGGGCUUACGUUACAUGUUCCACAAGCCCUUGUAUUGGCUCGUUAAGGGAGAACAAGAGACUGUAGGCUAGCCACUUCAGAAGAGGCAGAGAUGAUCCAACCGCACGGCAGGGACAGAGAUAAUACUUAUUUCACGAGCACUACAUUUCACGAGCAUAAUACUUAUUUUAAUAAUUUGUGUGAUCGAUUGAAAUGGGAAACGAGGAUCUGAAAAUUUUUGGUAUAUCUAUUGUAUAUAUACUUAUCCACUGAAAGAGUAAUUUAUAUUUUGAUUAGAUUUUUUUA